Molecule: long non-coding RNA, 815 nt
Filed under: Capsicum annuum
Lineage: Eukaryota; Viridiplantae; Streptophyta; Magnoliopsida; Solanales; Solanaceae
Description: long non-coding RNA (CANN_LNC011911)
Source: RNAcentral
AUCUCUCUUCAUCCCACUCCACCAAUAGAUCUCUCGCAUGUCGCGGUACAUCUUAGUGGCCCCUGGAUGAAUAGAGUAUCGUGCACCAUGUGCUUCUGCAAGAAUUCGUUACCUCAAUUCAUCUACACCUGGAACACAUAGACGAUCCUGACAACGAAGAAUACCAUCUCCCCUUGGGAGAAAAUCUCAAAUUUCUGAUCCUGAACUGACUCUUUGAGCUUGACAAGGCUAGGAUCCCUGUCUUGUUUCUCUUUCACCUCGGAAACUAGAGAUGACUCUGAACUACUAUAAACAUAUACACCACCCUCUGAAGAAUCGACUAAGCGAACGCCUAGUCUGGCAAGCUGAUGGAUCUCCUGAGCCAUCUUUUUCUUACUAUCCUCAACGUGAGAAAUACUACCCAUGGAGAGUCGACUCAGAGCGUCGGCCACGACAUUGGCCUUGCCCGGAUGAUAAAAACACUCAUGUCGUAAUCCUUCAAGAGCUCUAACCACCUUCUCUGGUGAAGAUUAAGAUCUUUCUGGGAAAAGACAUACUGGAGGCUUUUAUGGUUUGUGAAGACAUCUACAUGAACUCCAUAGAGGUAAUGCCUCCAAAUUUUCAAGGCAAAAACUACCGCUGCUAACUCAAGAUCAUGAGUAGGAUAAUUCUUCUCAUGUGGCUUUAACUGUCUGGAGGCGUAGGCUAUGAAGGAAAAAACUAUCGUUGCUAACUCAAGAUCAUGAGUAGGAUAUUUCUUCUCAUGUGGCUUUAACUGUCUUGAGGCGUAGGCUAUGACCUUACCAUGCUGCAUAAGGACACAACCUAAAUCCACU